This 435-nucleotide ribosomal RNA is filed under the name uncultured bacterium. RNAcentral's name for it is "partial 16S ribosomal RNA". It matches the Rfam family "Bacterial small subunit ribosomal RNA", at positions 28 to 507 of the family's 1533-position model. The record is from RNAcentral.
GAUGAACGCUGGCGGUAUGCUUAACACAUGCAAGUCGAACGGACUCUUCGGAGUUAGUGGCGGACGGGUGAGUAACGCGUGAGAAUCUGGCUUUGGGUUCGGGACAACCACUGGAAACGGUGGCUAAUACCGGAUGUGCCGAGAGGUAAAAGAGAAAUUGCCUGAAGAUGAGCUCGCGUCUGAUUAGCUAGUUGGUGAGGUAAAGGCUCACCAAGGCAGCGAUCAGUAGCUGGUCUGAGAGGAUGACCAGCCACACUGGGACUGAGACACGGCCCAGACUCCUACGGGAGGCAGCAGUGGGGAAUUUUCCGCAAUGGGCGAAAGCCUGACGGAGCAAUACCGCGUGAGGGAAGAAGGCACUUGGGUUGUAAACCUCUUUUCUUAGGGAAGAACAAAAUGACGGUACCUAAGGAAUCAGCAUCGGCUAACUCCGUG